Molecule: RNA transcript, 3843 nt
Organism: Felis catus (domestic cat)
Lineage: Eukaryota; Metazoa; Chordata; Mammalia; Carnivora; Felidae
Gene: MAP3K7
Gene name: mitogen-activated protein kinase kinase kinase 7
Exons: 19
Source: RefSeq, a predicted model, not a curated record
UUUCCGAUUUCAGGCCGGAACCGGAAGUUCAGUGGGCGGGGCCCGGCGGCGGAAAACGCUGCGGAGCCGGAGCCGGGGUUCGGCUGUGGCCACUGCCCCUGUCCCCGCCACGGAGCGCGGUGGCUUCAGGCUGAAGGUCGGUCCGGAGGCGGGUGGGCGCGGGUCUCCCCCGGAGUGUCCGGGUGGCAGCCUCCCCGGGCCCCCCGGGCUCCGCGAAGGAUCAUGUCUACAGCCUCCGCCGCUUCCUCCUCUUCCUCAUCUUCGGCCGGUGAGAUGAUCGAAGCCCCCUCCCAAGUCCUCAACUUUGAAGAGAUUGACUACAAGGAGAUCGAAGUGGAAGAGGUUGUUGGAAGAGGAGCCUUUGGAGUAGUCUGCAAAGCUAAAUGGAGAGCAAAAGAUGUUGCCAUCAAACAAAUAGAAAGUGAAUCUGAGAGGAAAGCUUUUAUUGUAGAGCUUCGACAGUUAUCCCGCGUGAACCAUCCUAAUAUUGUAAAGCUGUAUGGGGCCUGCUUGAAUCCAGUGUGUCUUGUGAUGGAAUAUGCUGAAGGGGGCUCUUUAUAUAAUGUGCUGCAUGGUGCUGAACCAUUGCCAUAUUACACUGCUGCCCACGCAAUGAGUUGGUGUUUACAGUGUUCCCAAGGAGUGGCUUAUCUUCACAGCAUGCAACCCAAAGCUCUAAUUCACAGGGACCUGAAACCACCAAACUUGUUGCUGGUUGCAGGGGGGACAGUUUUAAAAAUCUGUGACUUUGGUACAGCCUGUGACAUUCAGACACACAUGACCAAUAACAAGGGCAGUGCUGCUUGGAUGGCACCUGAAGUUUUUGAAGGUAGCAAUUACAGUGAAAAAUGUGACGUCUUCAGCUGGGGUAUUAUCCUUUGGGAAGUAAUAACACGUCGGAAACCCUUUGAUGAGAUUGGUGGCCCAGCUUUCCGUAUCAUGUGGGCUGUUCAUAAUGGUACUCGACCACCACUGAUCAAAAAUUUACCUAAGCCCAUUGAGAGCCUGAUGACUCGUUGUUGGUCUAAAGAUCCUUCUCAGCGCCCUUCAAUGGAGGAGAUUGUGAAAAUAAUGACUCACUUGAUGCGGUACUUUCCAGGAGCAGAUGAGCCAUUACAGUAUCCUUGUCAGUACUCAGAUGAAGGACAGAGCAAUUCUGCCACCAGUACAGGCUCAUUCAUGGACAUCGCUUCUACAAAUACCAGUAAUAAAAGUGACACUAAUAUGGAGCAAAUUCCUGCAACAAAUGAUACUAUUAAACGCUUAGAAUCAAAAUUGUUGAAAAAUCAGGCAAAGCAACAGAGUGAAUCGGGACGUUUAAGCCUGGGAGCUUCCCGUGGGAGCAGCGUGGAGAGCUUGCCCCCCACCUCUGAGGGCAAGAGGAUGAGUGCUGACAUGUCUGAAAUAGAAGCCAGGAUUGCUGCGACAACAGCCUAUUCCAAGCCUAAACGGGGCCACCGUAAAACUGCUUCAUUUGGCAACAUUCUGGAUGUCCCUGAGAUCGUCAUAUCAGGCAACGGACAGCCAAGACGUAGGUCCAUCCAAGACUUGACUGUUACUGGAACAGAACCUGGUCAGGUAAGCAGUAGGUCAUCCAGUCCUAGUGUCAGAAUGAUCACUACCUCAGGACCAACCUCAGAAAAGCCAAGUCGAAGUCAUCCAUGGACUCCUGAUGAUUCCACAGAUACCAAUGGAUCGGAUAACUCCAUCCCAAUGGCUUAUCUUACACUGGAUCACCAGCUACAGCCUCUAGCACCGUGCCCAAACUCCAAAGAAUCUAUGGCAGUGUUUGAGCAGCAUUGUAAAAUGGCACAAGAAUAUAUGAAAGUUCAAACAGAAAUUGCAUUGUUAUUACAGAGAAAGCAAGAACUAGUUGCAGAACUGGACCAGGAUGAAAAGGACCAGCAAAAUACAUCUCGUCUGGUGCAGGAACAUAAAAAGCUUUUAGAUGAAAACAAAAGCCUUUCUACUUAUUACCAGCAAUGUAAAAAACAACUAGAGGUCAUCAGAAGCCAGCAGCAAAAACGACAAGGCACUUCAUGAUUCUCUGGGACCUUCAAAUUUUAAAAUAUGCAAAGAAAGACUUUUUUUUUUUAAGGAAAGAAAAGCCCUUCUAAUGACAAUUCGUGAGUGUUAGCUUUUGGGCGUGUUCUGAAUGCCAACUGCCUAUAUUUGCUGCAUUUUGUUUCAUCGUUUAUUUUCUUUUUCUCAUGGUGGACAUGCAGUUCAACUGUCUCCUUGCAUAACAUGGGGGCAUCUGUGACUUGAAUAAGCAGCAGUUCUCAACUUCAAAACAGAUGCAGUGAACCAUGGCUAUAUAUGCAUGCUCAUUGUGUGAAGGCUAGCCUAACAAAACGGGGUAUCAAACUAGCUGCUAUGUGCAAACAUCGCCUUUUUUCGAGGUGGAACCUCAAGAAUGAUUUUGUUCUUGUAUCUCAUCUCAAAAAACAAAUAAUUUUUUUUUUCCAAAAGAUGGUAUAUACCAAGUUAAAGACAGGGUAUUAUAAAAUCUAGAAUAAUCAGUGGUACAUUAUAGAAAUGCAGAACCUUUAGAGAUAGUUCCAAAGUGAGGGCUCUGAUGCCAGCAUCCUUCAAUCAGUACUGAACUUAGUUCCAUCCAUAAAAUAUUUAAAGGUAAGUGGCGGCUGCUGUAUUUAAUAAAAGCAUAUUUCAUUGGACUGAAAUUAUGAUACAUUGAACAAAAUGGAACCCUUUUUUUUAAGAUAUAAAGAUUUUUAAUUCUGUGAUUGUGUGUAUGUGUGUUGAGACUGUAAAGACUUUAUGACUCUAAUAUUAAUAUCUCCUAAAUGAAAUUAAAAGGUAAAUGAACACGAUCCAGCUUAAAUGAUCAUUCCUUCCUGCAAUGAUUAUUGGAUUGUUGUAGUGUAUAUUUGAAAAACUGAAGAGAAAUGAUGGAAAAUGGAAAUAAUUGCUCCAACUAAAAGGCUUGGGCUUAGAUUUCUUUUAUGAUACCAAAAGAGUAAAAAAUUAAAAAAAACCUGGCAAAUCAGGAGAAGUUUAGUAAGGAAGUUAAAGAAGGAAAUAUAAAUUCAUCAAGUAUACUCUUUAUCAACAUUGGAAUAAUUAAUUUUCCUUACAAGCCCAUCCUAGAAUGCCUGCUGCCUUUCAACACUUUUAAGGGAAUUUCAACACUUAUAAAGAGAAAAUUUAUAUUGUUAACAAUAACUUUGCUACCGUAAACUUUGAAAAUAAAAGUAAUAAAAAAACUUCAUUGAAAUAAUAGACUAUAUAAGCUCUAUUUUUUCAGUUGGUAUUAAAAUAAAUCACAUUUUGAUACCAGUACAAGGUGUCUUUUAAAUAAGGAUGUCAUCAACCUCAUUUUUAUAGCAUUAAUGUUUUAUGAAGAGAAAAUUAAAAAUGAAAGCAUAAUUUCUGUGAUUAUUAGAAUUAUAUCAUGAUUGUAUUGUAGUUCUACUCUGUUUCAGAUAAGCAAGUUGAUCUAAGAAGUUAUCAAAACUAUUCUUAAAAAAUGCUAAAGCAGCUUCUUUUAUGUUCCUAGUUUCCGCUCCUGCCUGUAGCCAGAGAUGAUAGGUUUUGCCUGUGAAACUUUUUUCUUUCUGUUAAGUGUAUGGUUUUCAGCAGUCAACUCCUCUUCAAAUGGAACUCAGGGCCCUUUGCCAUGGGCACAACCAUUGGAGCCCUUGCAUGAAUCCUACAGGGGCAGGAACUUCCCUUCCCACUACUGGCCCCAACCUGGAUCCCUGCAGGUAGGGGUGGACCCAAAGGGAGUGAUUCCAAAGGUUGUCCCAUGGAUUUGGUGAAGAUGAAGCAUAGUGUCAACAAGAGGAGUAAAAAAAUAAAUAAAUCAGAACUUUAAUGGCA